CACGUAGGCACCAAGCGUUGUCCGGAUUUAUUGGGCGUAAAGAGCUCGUAGGCGGUUCGGUAAGUCGGAUGUGAAAACUUUGGGCUCAACCCAAAGCGUGCACUCGAUACUGCCGUGACUGGAGUUCGGUAGGGGAGCGGGGAAUUCCUAGUGUAGCGGUGAAAUGCGCAGAUAUUAGGAGGAACACCGGUGGCGAAGGCGCCGCUCUGGGCCGAUACUGACGCUGAGGAGCGAAAGCGUGGGUAGCAAACAGG
Molecule: non-coding RNA, 254 nt
Filed under: uncultured bacterium
Lineage: Bacteria
Also listed under: 1 other name
Description: partial 16S ribosomal RNA
Rfam family: Bacterial small subunit ribosomal RNA
Source: RNAcentral